AGUGAACGCUGGCGGUAGGCCUAACACAUGCAAGUCGAACGGCAGCACAGUAAGAGCUUGCUCUUACGGGUGGCGAGUGGCGGACGGGUGAGGAAUACAUCGGAAUCUACUUUUUCGUGGGGGAUAACGUAGGGAAACUUACGCUAAUACCGCAUACGACCUACGGGUGAAAGCAGGGGAUCUUCGGACCUUGCGCGAGUGAAUGAGCCGAUGUCGGAUUAGCUAGUUGGCGGGGUAAAGGCCCACCAAGGCGACGAUCCGUAGCUGGUCUGAGAGGAUGAUCAGCCGCACUGGAACUGAGACACGGUCCAGACUCCUACGGGAGGCAGCAGUGGGGAAUAUUGGACAAUGGGCGCAAGCCUGAUCCAGCCAUACCGCGUGGGUGAAGAAGGCCUUCGGGUUGUAAAGCCCUUUUGUUGGGAAAGAAAAGCAGCAGGUUAAUACCCCGCUGUUCUGACGGUACCCAAAGAAUAAGCACCGGCUAACUUCGUG
RNAcentral lists this ribosomal RNA (492 nucleotides) under uncultured bacterium. RNAcentral describes it as "partial 16S ribosomal RNA". It matches the Rfam family "Bacterial small subunit ribosomal RNA", at positions 29 to 507 of the family's 1533-position model. The record is from RNAcentral.